Molecule: unclassified non-coding RNA, 260 nt
Filed under: uncultured fungus
Lineage: Eukaryota; Fungi
Description: partial contains small subunit ribosomal RNA, internal transcribed spacer 1, and 5.8S ribosomal RNA
Rfam family: Eukaryotic small subunit ribosomal RNA (bases 1-73)
Source: RNAcentral
GCAAACUUGGUCAUUUAGAGGAAGUAAAAGUCGUAACAAGGUCUCCGUAGGUGAACCUGCGGAGGGAUCAUUACAGGGUCGUCGCCCCCGGGCGGAUCCCCCACCCGCUGUAAUCUCCACGACCGUUGCCUCGGCGGGCGCGCCCGCCCGCCAGAGGCCCCGUAGACCCUAGACGUCAGUGUCGUCUGAGAACCCACAGAAACGUUAAAAAAACUUUCAACAACGGAUCUCUUGGUUCCGGCAUCGAUGAAGAACGCAGC